This 652-nucleotide ribosomal RNA is filed under the name uncultured Pseudomonas sp. RNAcentral describes it as "bacterial SSU rRNA". It matches the Rfam family "Bacterial small subunit ribosomal RNA", at positions 27 to 674 of the family's 1533-position model. Lineage: Bacteria; Pseudomonadati; Pseudomonadota; Gammaproteobacteria; Pseudomonadales; Pseudomonadaceae. The record is from RNAcentral.
GAUUGAACGCUGGCGGCAGGCCUAACACAUGCAAGUCGAGCGGUUGAAGGAAGCUUGCUUUCUGAUUUAGCGGCGGACGGGUGAGUAAUGCCUAGGAAUCUGCCUGGUAGUGGGGGACAACGUUUCGAAAGGAACGCUAAUACCGCAUACGUCCUACGGGAGAAAGCAGGGGACCUUCGGGCCUUGCGCUAUCAGAUGAGCCUAGGUCGGAUUAGCUAGUUGGUGAGGUAAUGGCUCACCAAGGCGACGAUCCGUAACUGGUCUGAGAGGAUGAUCAGUCACACUGGAACUGAGACACGGUCCAGACUCCUACGGGAGGCAGCAGUGGGGAAUAUUGGACAAUGGGCGAAAGCCUGAUCCAGCCAUGCCGCGUGUGUGAAGAAGGUCUUCGGAUUGUAAAGCACUUUAAGUUGGGAGGAAGGGCAGUCAGCGAAUACCUUGCUGUCUUGACGUUACCGACAGAAUAAGCACCGGCUAACUCUGUGCCAGCAGCCGCGGUAAUACAGAGGGUGCAAGCGUUAAUCGGAAUUACUGGGCGUAAAGCGCGCGUAGGUGGUUUGUUAAGUUGAAUGUGAAAUCCCCGGGCUCAACCUGGGAACUGCAUCCAAAACUGGCAAGCUAGAGUAGGGCAGAGGGUGGUGGAAUUUCCUGU